Molecule: ribosomal RNA, 481 nt
Filed under: uncultured bacterium
Lineage: Bacteria
Description: partial 16S ribosomal RNA
Rfam family: Bacterial small subunit ribosomal RNA
Source: RNAcentral
GACGAACGUUGGCGGCGUGCUUAAUACAUGCAAGUCCACUGAAGCAGUGGUAGCAAUAUCGCUGUGGAGGUGGCGCACGGGUGAGUAACACGUAGGUAAUCUGCCUUCAGGUCUGGCAUAACUCCGGGAAACCGGGGCUAAUAGCAGAUGAUGCAGCGGCUCGACAUCGAGACAGUUGUUAAAGCUAUGGCGCCUGAAGAUGAGCCUGCGUCUGAUUAGCUAGUUGGCGGGGUAACGGCCCACCAAGGCAACGAUCAGUAGCUGGUCUGAGAGGAUGAUCAGCCACACUGGAACUGAGACACGGUCCAGACUCCUACGGGAGGCAGCAGUAAGGAAUAUUGCUCAAUGGGAGAAAUCCUGAAGCAGCAACGCCGCGUGAGGGACGAAGGGCUUUUGCUUGUAAACCUCUGUAGUGAGAGAAAAAAAUCCUAAUCUUUGGGACAUGAUGGUAGCUCAAAAGUAAGCCCCGGCUAACUACGUG